This 253-nucleotide ribosomal RNA is filed under the name Clostridioides difficile. RNAcentral's name for it is "partial 16S ribosomal RNA". It matches the Rfam family "Bacterial small subunit ribosomal RNA", at positions 600 to 854 of the family's 1533-position model. Lineage: Bacteria; Bacillati; Bacillota; Clostridia; Peptostreptococcales; Peptostreptococcaceae. The record is from RNAcentral.
GGCUACGGCUCAACCGUAGUAAGCUCUUGAAACUGGGAGACUUGAGUGCAGGAGAGGAGAGUGGAAUUCCUAGUGUAGCGGUGAAAUGCGUAGAUAUUAGGAGGAACACCAGUUGCGAAGGCGGCGCUCUGGACUGUAACUGACGCUGAGGCACGAAAGCGUGGGGAGCAAACAGGAUUAGAUACCCUGGUAGUCCACGCUGUAAACGAUGAGUACUAGGUGUCGGGGGUUACCCCCUUCGGUGCCGCAGCUA